CUGAAAACACUGGAUCGCAUUCGAUCACCGAAGUUAAGCAACGUCGAACCCGAUCAGUACUUAGAUGGGGGACAGCUUGGAAAUACCUUGU
Non-coding RNA from Acanthosepion pharaonis, 91 nucleotides. The record is from the annotation of a GenBank genome assembly. NCBI's taxonomy places the organism in Eukaryota, Metazoa, Mollusca, Cephalopoda, Sepiida, Sepiidae.